CGCCGCCGAGCCGUGAGCGUGUCCGGCCCUCCCGUCCCGUGAGGAAAUAAAAAGGAAUUCGAGCAGCCGAUUCAAAGGCACGAUUACCGUCUAAAAGAAGCCUGAAAAGCCCAUACACAACCCUCAUGUAAACAGAUGUGCUCUGCCGCCCACUACAUCAUCUUGUCAGGCUGGGCGUCCAGCAUUUGCUGCUGGACUGGAAACCGCCUGACCGUGUACAUACUUGACUGACCUCUUGGGCACGGCAGAUCUCCAGCAUAUACAGAGCAAAUUUCAGUGCAUUUGCACAAAGUAGUGAACCCAUGUAACCAGAACUUACAUCCAGGAACAGAACAUUAUCAUCUCUCCAGAAGACCCCACCUGCCCCCUUCCAGACGUGACGUCUCUGUCAGGCGUGACCGCCAUCGAAGAUGACCGUGAAUUCCACCCGGAACACCACAUCACAUCUGUGGGCUGUGAUACACCCUUAGAUCCUUCUGGCCAGCAGAAUUCUCCCGGCUGCCCUUGGCUGUGACGCCCUCUGCCCUUCGAGGAACACGGGUUGGGCGUUUUGUAGAUCGCACCUUGACUUGGGCUUCGCCUGAGUUUGUCUCACAAAUUAAGUGAGGUGAUGAGAUGGGGAGAAAGAUGGCGGAGGUGAAGGACCAUUCUCAUUUCUUCAUCUGAAGUGUUUAGUUUUCCUGUUUUUACAUCUGGCUCAUAGAUGGCAAAGUCAUGACCACAGAGAAAUGACAGAUGAUGUCACCUCCAUAUGACAUAUGCAGCCUGAGGUCAGCGGAGUGGCCGCUGGGCGAGGUCACCCAGCUAGGGGUGAAGCUGCGAUGGAUGCUUUUCAUGAACCCGGGACGCCCGGCUUCCUCCAGGGGCCUUCUUCUCUGCCCAGGCCACCAAAGGAGUUGUGGGUUCGUGCUGACUGGCUUCCUUCCUGACUUCUCUGCAGUGAUACACGCACAGACGUUCUGGGGACUCAAGUGUCGGCACAUGUGGAAAGUGAAUGAAUGGUGCUGGAUUCCGGGAUUAUUUUGAAUAGACAGUUUACAUUACGUGGAUCAGGAUGCCCCAGCGUGGAAGCUCUAGGACACGAUUUCCUUAGAAUGGAAUGAACUUUGUAUGCAAAAGGGUGGCGUGAUCAUGUAAACUGGGAACUGAUGAGAAUAACCAAGCAUCUUGGAAAGAAAAAUGAAAAUGAUUGCUGAAUGCACUGGCUUGUAAAUGCCCCCAAAAAAGAAGGUACCAUAAUUACUCCAUUAAAUGUACUGAAAAUAUUUGUCAAGCUGAUUAUUGAAGAUUAGGUAAGUUAAGUUGGCUGCCACAGUCACUGAGUUUAUUAUUGGCCAUUCUCUUCAGAGUUUAAAAGAAGUUUGGAAGAACUCAGAAUUACUGUGAAAACUGUCCUGUUUCUCUGGGUUCAGAAUAUAAGUAGCUAUGGGGAUAGAAGGAAAACUAUUAUUUCAUCUUUAUAUCAUUUCUAGGACUAUCUCAAGAGAGAAAGAGAGCAUUGCAUCUGAACAGAGAGAGUGAGGAAUACAGAAAUACAAGGGUUUUGACUUCCAUUCCCUUGGGAUCUACAAUGAGACCAGGGCAUAAGAAAAGCUUUGAAAAUAACUCAUGUUCACACCUACCCGGUCUAGGGUGAAGUUGGAAUUGUGAAUUAGCUCGCUUUAUUUUAGGCUAAAGUAAGUAGUUAUGUUAAACAUUCGACAUUAACGCUAUUGCUGAAUCGCGCAGUGAAUUGGCAAAACGACCAUCCGGAAUAUGAAGACCUUUGUCAUCGAAUCUCCGACCUUUAAACGUGAGGUCAUAUCACAGACGUUCGCAUGGACUUUAAGGUGAUCAGAUUCUCUAAACUCAUUUUGGAAAUAGGUGUUUCUGAAAAUACUCAUCAAAACUCAUCGAAUUGUUGUUUAUUCUAUUUUAAAUGCAUUGAUGGAGAAGCUAGUCAAAGGAAUCCAAUGAUGAUCGGGAAAAUAAGAAAAUCAUUUGAGAUGUUAACAUAACUUUCUGAAUUCAUCUAGUUCUUUAAUAUAAACCUAGUUAAAUCACAAUGCAGCUCACUGUUUUAUUAUAACUUCUUGAAAUUUUUCAUGUCUAAUGUAUGCACAGGUGAGCGAACCGUCUGUCAUGCUGUACAUUCGUGGGGCUGUGGUGGCGUCUCGCUGCGUUUGGGGGCCACUCCAGGUGGCCUGCUUGGGUUUGAUGGGGAGAAAUGUUUUCACCAGUGGAUGAAUUGCGGUAGCAGAUAUUUACAUUCAGAAAUACCAAAGGCAUUAUUUUUUCUCUGAGAAGGGCACUUCAGUGUGAGCAGGCGUCCCUUCUCUUGUUCACUGUGUCAACAGUGAUCAUCCUGUGCUGACGUUCUCUGAAACGCGCAUUUCUGGCAGUUAGACAUUACGAGGCAGUUUGCUGUGUGACGGAUUAGUUGCUGACUAACAGUUCAGAUAUCUCCAUGUCUUUUUCUUUAACUGUCCCCCAUCAGUUUCAAACUACUAAUGUCAUAGUUACUUAAUGGGUUACUCUCAGGGGUAAACAUGUAAGAAGGGACAAGAUAGAAAAUUCUGUAGCAUGGAAAGUUAAUGAGAAACUGAAAGGAGCUUUAGAUAUAACUAAUUUUGGUAUAUUUUCAUUCAUUCUUUAACAGUAAAAAUAAUGCAUGUCACAAUUAAAUAUUGAAUAUUAUAGUGCAUUUAAAAAUUUUAUUUAUUUCGUUACUAAUUCAUAUGAGUAG
Molecule: non-coding RNA, 2725 nt
Organism: Manis javanica (Malayan pangolin)
Lineage: Eukaryota; Metazoa; Chordata; Mammalia; Pholidota; Manidae
Source: RefSeq, a predicted model, not a curated record